UACGUAGGGUGCGAGCGUUGUCCGGAAUUACUGGGCGUAAAGAGCUCGUAGGUGGUUUGUCGCGUUGUUCGUGAAAACUCACAGCUUAACUGUGGGCGUGCGGGCGAUACGGGCAGACUGGAGUACUGCAGGGGAGACUGGAAUUCCUGGUGUAGCGGUGGAAUGCGCAGAUAUCAGGAGGAACACCGGUGGCGAAGGCGGCUACCUGGACAGAAACUGACGCUGAGGCGCGAAAGCUAGGGGAGCAAACAGG
Molecule: ribosomal RNA, 253 nt
Filed under: uncultured bacterium
Lineage: Bacteria
Description: partial 16S ribosomal RNA
Rfam family: Bacterial small subunit ribosomal RNA
Source: RNAcentral